UACGUAGGGAGCAAGCGUUGUCCGGAAUCAUUGGGCGUAAAGCGCGCGUAGGCGGCCUCGUAAGUCCGUUGUGAAAGUCAAAGGCUCAACCUUUGAAAGCCGAUGGAUACUGUGAGGCUAGAGUCCGGAAGAGGCGAGUGGAAUUCCUGGUGUAGCGGUGGAAUGCGCAGAUAUCAGGAGGAACACCGGUGGCGAAGGCGGCGACCUGGGUAGAUACUGACGCUAGAGGUGACGAAAGGCAGUGGGGAG
This 249-nucleotide ribosomal RNA is filed under the name uncultured bacterium. RNAcentral describes it as "partial 16S ribosomal RNA". It matches the Rfam family "Bacterial small subunit ribosomal RNA", at positions 524 to 770 of the family's 1533-position model. The record is from RNAcentral.